AAGGCAAAAUGCAUAAUUGUAAUUCUCUAAAAGUUUGUAAACGAUUUGAUCUAAAAACAGACCAUACUGACAGAGAAGAUACAAUGCUUUAACGUGUUAGGUACUCGCCCAGAAAGUAGUAUUUAUACAAUUGUAGUCGCUUUAUACAACACGCCCAUAGGCAUAAAUCACUGCAUUCACAGUCAGAUGCAAGGCCAGACGACUGUGUAAUUCCAUAAAAAUUACAAUUGCGCUUAUUACAUUAAUGGCAAACCCAAACUGGCCGAGACCGCCAUAUGCAACACCUAAGUGUCCUUGAAUCAGUGCGCGGAUCCCCGUGGACCAUAACAUGCAUGUAUAAUGAGACUUUCGAAUACAAAGCCACAGAGAUACGGACGCAAAUCUUUUGGCAUCAGUAGCUCACCACUUCCUCAUGAGUCUGGUUGGUCCGCCAGAGCUGAGCAGGUCUGUCUACUCUCUAACCAACACUAACUAGAAGCGAUGCAUCUGAAAGUGACCUUGGCUGCAGCCGCCACGGUAGCAGGGGCUGCCUUCUGGGGACCAGCUGCAGCCCACACCGAACCCUUCAGCCAAACCGGCUCCGACUCCUUGCACACCCACCUCAGACUAGCUCGAUCCCUGUCGUCCCAAAAAACGCCGCCACCUUCUCCAAACCCGGAGGAGGCUGACAGCGACGCGUGUGAUGAGAAUGAGGAAAGCAUGGAUGCCGGCAAACGUAAACAAGCACGCAAGGAAAACAAGAAAAAAAAUCCUUUUAAAUAUUUCCAGUAAUAACCACGUUCACAAGGGUUAGCUAAAUGUGUAUCUUUUCUCGAGCUGAACUAGCUGACGACACUAUAGAUCUUACACACGUCAGUAGCUGGCGAGAAAUGUUAGAAUGUUCAUUAAGACUUCGACAAAAAGGACUAGACCCACAAAAUCAGGUUUCUACAUACUAUGGAGAAGCAUGAACCUAUUAACGGCCAAGCUGCCUCACUCUCAUACACUCAGCACAUCCACUGCAACAACUUCAAAACCAUGUAUGCUUGCAAGAUGAGAGGCAGUUUUUCUCUAUAUUAUAAGAAGAUUUUUAUGUACUUGCAAUUAGCAUGAAAAAAUAUUGUAUUUAGUAAAUUAAAAAAAAUGUAUCUGCUUUUUCAACAGUACAAUUCCUCGUAAAUGCA
Molecule: long non-coding RNA, 1163 nt
Organism: Procambarus clarkii (red swamp crayfish)
Lineage: Eukaryota; Metazoa; Arthropoda; Malacostraca; Decapoda; Cambaridae
Source: RefSeq, a predicted model, not a curated record